GAUAACAAGAAAUUUUGUUAAUAGAUAAAUAUUCUUUUAUAUUUUUUGAUCAAUAUAUUGUAUUUUUUUUUUCAAUAUGUUGUUCUAUUUUAGAAAAGUUUUUAUUUUUAAAGAGAAAGAUUGUAGAUUUGGGGUUGUGAUUUAGAAAUUAGGAUAAUAAGAAUUUUUGUUGAUAGAUGAGUAUUUUUUUAUUUUUUUAUCAAUAGGGUGUAUUCUUAAGAUAAAAUUCUCAAAAAUUCUAUUUUAGGUAAGAUUUCAUUUUUAUAGAGAAAUAUUGUAAAUUCGUGGUUGUAAUUUUAGAAAUAAGAAUAACAAGAAUUUUUGUUAAUAGAUGACUAUUAUUUUAGAUUUUUUUAUUAUUAGGUUGUAUUUUAAAAAUAAAAUUUUCAAAAUUUUAUUUUUGAAAAGUUUUUAUUUUUUAAGAAAACUAUUGUAGAUUUGCGGUUGAAAGCUAGAGAGGCUCAAAAGAGCGUUCAGCAGAUUGAUGGAGAAAGAGUGGUCGGCCUUUGGUAAAAGUGUAUUAUUGAAAACUUUGCAUGCUUAAUUAUGCCAUAUACGGUUUUUAUUUUUAUUUAUAUCAAUAGACUUAUACUUAUAAGAGAAUAAGACCAAAAAACACCUAGAAAUUUAAUGCAAGAUGGCAUUGUCUGUGGGGGAAGAAAGUGAGUAAAAAUGUAGGAAAAUUACCAUAAAUACCACAUUUAUAGUACCAUUUUUCAUGUUUACACUAACCACUUUUAACCUCACUUUUAAUGAAGGGUAAAAUACAAUUAUACCCUUAGGGUUAACUAAUCUAGACUUAGGGUCUAGAGUUGAGGGGGUGGGAUAGGGUUUUUGGAAUGUGAAAUUUAUGAUUCUAAUAAAUAUAUAAAUACUUAAAAAAUAUAUAAAAUUUUUUAAUAGUUUCAACCAUAAUUUAAGUUUUUCAAAAAUAAAUUUGCAAAAAAAAUAAAAAAGAAAUCGAAAAAAAAAAUUCAAAAAAAAAAUUUAUAAAAAAGUUCGAUUUUGAAAAAGUAUAAUUCAAAAACAUAAAAAAAAUGUAAUUUUUUUUAACUUUUAUUUUUUUUUAUCUUUUUUUUAUUUUUUUUAUUUAAAAAAUAAUUUAUUAUAUAUAUAAAUAACAAGUGCAUAAGAGUCUUUUGCCACUUAAUGAAUAAGAUAUUUUUGAAAAUGUCUUAUUAUUGGUGGUAAAAAUAAAAAGUGGUACCAUGAAAGUGAUAAACAUGUAUUUUCCCCAAAAAUUUAACAUCUGUUGAAAAUAAAAAUAAAGGGAAAAUAGUAUUUAUUUAAGUAAAUAUAUUUUCUGGUUAUAAAGCAAUAGAGAGAUGGUGUUGAUGUAAGUGGAGAAAGAGGGGAGAUGGUGAGACAACGACAAGAGAUAGAGUCAAGUUAAAAAAAAAAAUAAGUCAAGAUUAUAUUGACUUCAGAUUAUUAAAAUAACCAAGCGCAGCCUCUCUAUAGAGUCAAGAGAUAGAGACAAGAGAUAUAUAUAAUAGUAUUUCUUUGUUACUCUUUUGUUGAAAGGACAAGUUACAAAAAAAAAAAAGAAUAAGUCAAGAUUAUAUUGACUUCAGAUUAUUAAAAUAAGGGUUUUUAGUAAUUAAACCCCUCAACUAAAGAUGAAUCGUAAAAAAAACCCUCAACUAAAAAUCCUGUGAAAUAAACCCUCAACUUUAGUUCCGUUAACAUAUGUUACCCUCCGUCUAAAAACCCGUCACGGAGGGUGACAUAUGUUAACGGUUUAUAAGUUGAGGGUUUAUAAUGUUGAAAACUUAGUUGAGGUUUUUUUUUUACGAUUCAAAAAUAGUUGAGGGGUUUUAUCACUAAAAGUCAUUAAAGGGUUUUUAGGUUAUUUAUUAUCCAUUUAUACAUUGUUUUAGAUUGAUUUGUAAGCCUUUAAAACUAAUGUAUAUUUUUAAUACAUUAAUCUAUUAUAAAAUUAAUUUAUACAUCUUAAAUUAAUAAUUUUCAACACGAUUUACAACUUAUUAUAACUUCAAA
RNAcentral lists this long non-coding RNA (2001 nucleotides) under Brassica rapa (field mustard). RNAcentral describes it as "long non-coding RNA (BRAP_LNC001285)". The record is from RNAcentral. Lineage: Eukaryota; Viridiplantae; Streptophyta; Magnoliopsida; Brassicales; Brassicaceae.